UUUAUUGUAAGCUGCUCCUAAGCUUUUAAGCACGGAGUUAGUUUGUGUGAUUCACUCAUAAGCUUUUAAGCAAGAGUGUUGUCUAGUUUCUAGGAGAGUGUCUCCAUCCUUAUCAUUAUUAUUGACAGCAACAUAGUACGUGUUGUUAGAGGGAAUUUGGGACGGGGUCUCAUUAUGUAAGAGGUUCUUAGAUAGGAUUGCAC
This 203-nucleotide long non-coding RNA is filed under the name Trifolium pratense (red clover). RNAcentral's name for it is "long non-coding RNA (TPRA_LNC012148)". Lineage: Eukaryota; Viridiplantae; Streptophyta; Magnoliopsida; Fabales; Fabaceae. The record is from RNAcentral.